Molecule: long non-coding RNA, 751 nt
Organism: Meriones unguiculatus (Mongolian gerbil)
Lineage: Eukaryota; Metazoa; Chordata; Mammalia; Rodentia; Muridae
Exons: 3
Source: RefSeq, a predicted model, not a curated record
GCAGACAGGCUGGAAAAACAAAGGGACUUACAAAUCAUUCAUCUCCGUGUGUAUUAGCUGAUAAAGAAGAAAGUAUUUGCAAACCAUUACAACUCCCUUGGAAAAGUAUGUCGAGAGAGACUCGUCGUCUAUGGUGGAUUUUAGAUUUCGUCAGUCUUUCUCUCCUCCUCCUCCUCAUUGUCCUCCUCCUGCUCCUCCUCCUAAUCCAUAGCUUCCUACCACGUAGCCCAAGCUGGUGAAGAGAAAGGUCCAGAAGCGUUGCAUGAAACCUAAUGGAAUUAGCAUUUGAGAGAACACAAGCUGGAAGAGAGGAAAGCCAGAAAACCAGUGUGCUGGCUUAGACACAGAGGUGCAUGACAUGGCUGGAGGUCCACCUUCCCACCCUUGUGCUCUCCCCAAAAAGGAAGAAAAAAUCAAGUCCAGUUUGUGUUGCCUGUAUACUCACUGGAGUGUGGACAGACCCCAGUGGCCAGCCCUUUAAAGAAAACUGAGUCCUACCCGGGCGUUGUGGCACUCCGGAGGCGGAGGCAGGCAGAUCCCUGUGAGUUCAAAGCCAGCCUGGUCUAAUAGCAAGUUCAAGACAGCUACAUAGAGAUCUUGUCUCAAACAAACAAACAACAACAAAAAGUCUCUCACCCGGAAGGAGGUCUCCAAAAGCUAAGCUCCUUUAUGUUCAUGCUCCUAUAUCCAUAAAGACAUAAGCAACAGUAAGGGGACACAUGAGUGUUUAAAAAUUGAAGGGUGAGGGGAC